GGGUUGUGAGGUUAAGCGACUAAGCGUACACGGUGGAUGCCCUGGCAGUCAGAGGCGAUGAAGGACGUGCUAAUCUGCGAAAAGCGCCGGCGAGGUGAUAUGAACCUUUGACCCGGCGAUGUCCGAAUGGGGAAACCCAGUGCAAUCCGUUGCACUAUCGUUAACUGAAUACAUAGGUUAACGAGGCGAACCGGGGGAACUGAAACAUCUAAGUACCCCGAGGAAAAGAAAUCAACCGAGAUUCCCCCAGUAGCGGCGAGCGAACGGGGAGCAGCCCGGAGUCUGAAUCAGCUUGUGUGUUAGUGGAACGGUCUGGAAAGUCCGGCGAUACAGGGUGAUAGCCCCGUACACGAAAGCACACAUGCUGUGAACUCGAAGAGUAGGGCGGGACACGUGGUAUCCUGUCUGAAUAUGGGGGGACCAUCCUCCAAGGCUAAAUACUCCUGACUGACCGAUAGUGAACCAGUACCGUGAGGGAAAGGCGAAAAGAACCCCGGCGAGGGGAGUGAAAAAGAACCUGAAACCGUGUACGUACAAGCAGUGGGAGCCUCUUUAUGGGGUGACUGCGUACCUUUUGUAUAAUGGGUCAGCGACUUAUAUUCUGUAGCAAGGUUAACCGUAUAGGGGAGCCGAAGGGAAACCGAGUCUUAACUGGGCGUUAAGUUGCAGGGUAUAGACCCGAAACCCGGUGAUCUAGCCAUGGGCAGGUUGAAGGUUGGGUAACACUAACUGGAGGACCGAACCGACUAAUGUUGAAAAAUUAGCGGAUGACCUGUGGCUGGGGGUGAAAGGCCAAUCAAACCGGGAGAUAGCUGGUUCUCCCCGAAAGCUAUUUAGGUAGCGCCUCGUGAACUCAUCUUCGGGGGUAGAGCACUGUUUCGGCUAGGGGGCCAUCCCGGCUUACCAACCCGAUGCAAACUACGAAUACCGAAGAAUGUUAUCACGGGAGACACACGGCGGGUGCUAACGUCCGUCGUGAAGAGGGAAACAACCCAGACCGCCAGCUAAGGUCCCAAAGUCAUGGUUAAGUGGGAAACGAUGUGGGAAGGCACAGACAGCCAGGAUGUUGGCUUAGAAGCAGCCAUCAUUUAAAGAAAGCGUAAUAGCUCACUGGUCGAGUCGGCCUGCGCGGAAGAUGUAACGGGGCUAAACCAUGCACCGAAGCUGCGGCAGCGACACUAUGUGUUGUUGGGUAGGGGAGCGUUCUGUAAGCCGUUGAAGGUGUGCUGUGAGGCAUGCUGGAGGUAUCAGAAGUGCGAAUGCUGACAUAAGUAACGAUAAAGCGGGUGAAAAGCCCGCUCGCCGGAAGACCAAGGGUUCCUGUCCAACGUUAAUCGGGGCAGGGUGAGUCGACCCCUAAGGCGAGGCCGAAAGGCGUAGUCGAUGGGAAACAGGUUAAUAUUCCUGUACUUGGUGUUACUGCGAAGGGGGGACGGAGAAGGCUAUGUCAGCCGGGCGACGGUUGUCCCGGUUUAAGCAUGUAGGCGGAGGUUCCAGGUAAAUCCGGUACCUUGUUAACGCUGAGGUGUGAUGACGAGGCACUACGGUGCUGAAGUGAUAAAUGCCCUGCUUCCAGGAAAAGCCUCUAAGCAUCAGGUAACACGAAAUCGUACCCCAAACCGACACAGGUGGUCAGGUAGAGAAUACCAAGGCGCUUGAGAGAACUCGGGUGAAGGAACUAGGCAAAAUGGUGCCGUAACUUCGGGAGAAGGCACGCUGAUAUGUAGGUGAAGCCCCUGCGGGCGGAGCUGAAAUCAGUCGAAGAUACCAGCUGGCUGCAACUGUUUAUUAAAAACACAGCACUGUGCAAACACGAAAGUGGACGUAUACGGUGUGACGCCUGCCCGGUGCCGGAAGGUUAAUUGAUGGGGUUAGCGGCAACGCGAAGCUCUUGAUCGAAGCCCCGGUAAACGGCGGCCGUAACUAUAACGGUCCUAAGGUAGCGAAAUUCCUUGUCGGGUAAGUUCCGACCUGCACGAAUGGCGUAAUGAUGGCCAGGCUGUCUCCACCCGAGACUCAGUGAAAUUGAACUCGCUGUGAAGAUGCAGUGUACCCGCGGCAAGACGGAAAGACCCCGUGAACCUUUACUAUAGCUUGACACUGAACACUGGUCCUUGAUGUGUAGGAUAGGUGGGAGGCUUUGAAGCGUGGACGCCAGUCUGCGUGGAGCCAACCUUGAAAUACCACCCUUUAAUGGCUGGUGUUCUAACGUAGACCCGUAAUCCGGGUUGCGGACAGUGUCUGGUGGGUAGUUUGACUGGGGCGGUCUCCUCCCAAAGAGUAACGGAGGAGCACGAAGGUUGGCUAAUCCUGGUCGGACAUCAGGAGGUUAGUGCAAUGGCAUAAGCCAGCUUGACUGCGAGCGUGACGGCGCGAGCAGGUGCGAAAGCAGGUCAUAGUGAUCCGGUGGUUCUGAAUGGAAGGGCCAUCGCUCAACGGAUAAAAGGUACUCCGGGGAUAACAGGCUGAUACCGCCCAAGAGUUCAUAUCGACGGCGGUGUUUGGCACCUCGAUGUCGGCUCAUCACAUCCUGGGGCUGAAGUAGGUCCCAAGGGUAUGGCUGUUCGCCAUUUAAAGUGGUACGCGAGCUGGGUUUAGAACGUCGUGAGACAGUUCGGUCCCUAUCUGCCGUGGGCGCUGGAGAAUUGAGGGGGGCUGCUCCUAGUACGAGAGGACCGGAGUGGACGCAUCACUGGUGUUCGGGUUGUCAUGCCAAUGGCACUGCCCGGUAGCUAAAUGCGGAAAAGAUAAGUGCUGAAAGCAUCUAAGCACGAAACUUGCCCCGAGAUGAGUUCUCCCUGAGACUUUAAGUCUCCUGAAGGAACGUUGAAGACGACGACGUUGAUAGGUCGGGUGUGUAAGCGCAGCGAUGCGUUGAGCUAACCGAUACUAAUGAACCGUGAGGCUUAACCUUACAACGCCGAAGCUGUU
RNAcentral lists this ribosomal RNA (2931 nucleotides) under Enterobacter hormaechei. Its description in RNAcentral is "23S ribosomal RNA". It matches the Rfam family "Bacterial large subunit ribosomal RNA". The record is from RNAcentral. Lineage: Bacteria; Pseudomonadati; Pseudomonadota; Gammaproteobacteria; Enterobacterales; Enterobacteriaceae.